Acanthosepion pharaonis is the source of this 113-nucleotide non-coding RNA. NCBI's taxonomy places the organism in Eukaryota, Metazoa, Mollusca, Cephalopoda, Sepiida, Sepiidae. The record is from the annotation of a GenBank genome assembly.
UUACGGCCACAUCACGUUGAAACACGGUACGCGUAUGAUCACUGAAGUUAAGCAACGUCGAGUCUGGUCAAUACCUAGAUGGCCGAUCGCUUGGGAAUACCAGGUGCUGUAAG